CAAGAAGUAGUUUAAAUAAAAUAUUAACAUUGGAAGUUAGAGAUUAAGUGAAACUUAUUUCUUGA
RNAcentral lists this transfer RNA (65 nucleotides) under Sepioteuthis lessoniana. RNAcentral describes it as "tRNA-Pro". Lineage: Eukaryota; Metazoa; Mollusca; Cephalopoda; Myopsida; Loliginidae. The record is from RNAcentral.